GAUGAACGCUGGCGGCGUGCCUAAUACAUGCAAGUCGAGCGAACAGAUAAGGAGCUUGCUCCUUUGACGUUAGCGGCGGACGGGUGAGUAACACGUGGGUAACCUACCUAUAAGACUGGGAUAACUUCGGGAAACCGGAGCUAAUACCGGAUAACAUUUGGAACCGCAUGGUUCUAAAGUGAAAGAUGGUUUUGCUAUCACUUAUAGAUGGACCCGCGCCGUAUUAGCUAGUUGGUAAGGUAACGGCUUACCAAGGCGACGAUACGUAGCCGACCUGAGAGGGUGAUCGCCCACACUGGAACUGAGACACGGUCCAGACUCCUACGGGAGGCAGCAGUAGGGUAUCUUCCGCAGUAGGCGAAAGCCUGACGGAGCAACGCCGCGUGAGUGAUGAAGGGUUUCGGCUCGUAAUACUCUGUUAUUAGGGAAGAACAAAUGUGUAAGUAACUGUGCACGUCUUGACGGUACCUAAUCAGAAAGCCACGGCUAACUACGUG
RNAcentral lists this ribosomal RNA (497 nucleotides) under uncultured bacterium. RNAcentral's name for it is "partial 16S ribosomal RNA". It matches the Rfam family "Bacterial small subunit ribosomal RNA", at positions 28 to 507 of the family's 1533-position model. The record is from RNAcentral.